GAUGAAGAACGCAGUGAAAUGCGAUAAUUAAUGUGAAUUGCAGAAUUCAGUGAAUCAUCGAGUCUUUGAACGCACAUUGCGCCCCCUGGUAUUCCGGGGGGCAUGCCUGUCCGAGCGUCAUUGCUGCCCUCAAGCACGGCUUGUGUGUUGGGCUUCCGUCCCUGGCAACGGGGACGGGCCCAAAAGGCAGUGGCGGCACCAUGUCUGGUCCUCGAGCGUAUGGGGCUUUGUCACCCGCUCCCGUAGGUCCAGCUGGCAGCUAGCCUCGCAACCAAUCUUUUUAACCAGGUUGACCUCGGAUCAGGUAGGGAUACCCGCUGAACUUAAGCAUAUCAAGCGGAGGA
Molecule: unclassified non-coding RNA, 344 nt
Filed under: soil metagenome
Description: partial contains 5.8S ribosomal RNA, internal transcribed spacer 2, and large subunit ribosomal RNA
Rfam family: 5.8S ribosomal RNA (bases 1-120)
Source: RNAcentral